CUUUCAGUAUCUUUUUGGCUGCAUAAUGUUAUUUCGCAAUGAAGAAAAACUAAGGACAUAUUGUAGACCGGCUUAAACACAAAGCUGAAUCUUUUUCUUUCCAUCUCUGCAUGAGGCACAAGGAAAUCAAGCUUCUGAGGACUGUAGAACUUCACAGAAUCCUCCUUUGGACAAAUAUUUUCGAUAAUGGUGUAGUAAUCUGAAGAGGAAACGGGGUCCGACGAUGGAGAAAUAUAGCAGAAACACUUACUAUACUGUCAACAUGGAGACACUUGGGGCGAAUCCUUCACUGCUUCUCAUACCCAUAACAUUACUGUUGGAGAGAAUGCAUACAGUGCCUCUGCAGUGAAUAACAGGGCUCAAUCCUUUAAUUGUAACAUUAUCAACUGAUCUUUAAACAACUAAAUGAAAGAACUUCAGAAUGUAAAUUCAAACAGCAUACCCGAACAAUUUUUGGUCUGUUUUGAACUGGGUCGUCGCCAUCUCCGGGGAAGCCAUUGUCUCCUGAUUCUUCAUUAUCACCAUACCAUCCACUUUCUUCAAAGGGGUACUCUGGCUGUAUCACAAACUAUUAGGAAAAAUUUCAGUGAUUUAGAAAAAUCAUUUUGUAUUAGUUGAUUUCCCAAAGCAUUGUUCAUAAAAGAAUAAGUAAAAUAAAAUGCUUUUU
Long non-coding RNA from Rhincodon typus (whale shark), 667 nucleotides. RefSeq lists it as uncharacterized. Lineage: Eukaryota; Metazoa; Chordata; Chondrichthyes; Orectolobiformes; Rhincodontidae. The transcript is spliced from 3 exons. The record is from RefSeq and is a predicted model, not a curated record.